GAGCUGAGAAAUUUGUCAUCCAGUAUCUACCAACAGAACCCAAUCUAUCUUCUGUGCUCCCUAACCAAGAAGAUAGCAAGGAGAGAUGUAGAUGUUACGAACAAUGCAGCAGGUUUACAGGAUAACUAAGACUAGUGUGGAUGAAAAAAGAGCAAGGAAUAAACAAACCAAGAGAAACUGGACCUUAAAAUACAGAAUCCUUCUUCUGUCAUUGGGCAAUAGAUUACACCUGGUCUUAGGUUUGCCCAGAUCAAGACAAUUUCAAGCCAUUGUGAAACUGACUUUUUUUUUAUCAAGUUUAGGUGACAUUCUAAAAUAUAGUCAAUCUAAAGAGCACCAGGAAGAGCUGGAAUGAGAGCUAAGAUGCUGUAAUGAUUUGCCUACAACUGGAAACUAUGCUUCAACUUCCCAUUUGGGCAUAGAAACCCACUGAGUGACCUUGGGAAAGUCAUACAUUCUCAGAGGAAAUCAAAAGCAAACCCUCUCAGAAUAAAUCUUGCAAAGAACA
This is a long non-coding RNA of Anolis carolinensis (green anole), 508 nucleotides long. RefSeq lists it as uncharacterized. NCBI's taxonomy places the organism in Eukaryota, Metazoa, Chordata, Lepidosauria, Squamata, Anolidae. The transcript is spliced from 2 exons. The record is from RefSeq and is a predicted model, not a curated record.